UACGAAGGGGGCUAGCGUUGCUCGGAAUCACUGGGCGUAAAGGGCGCGUAGGCGGCGUUUUAAGUCGGGGGUGAAAGCCUGUGGCUCAACCACAGAAUGGCCUUCGAUACUGGGACGCUUGAGUAUGGUAGAGGUUGGUGGAACUGCGAGUGUAGAGGUGAAAUUCGUAGAUAUUCGCAAGAACACCAGUGGCGAAGGCGGCCAACUGGACCAUUACUGACGCUGAGGCGCGAAAGCGUGGGGAG
This 245-nucleotide ribosomal RNA is filed under the name uncultured bacterium. RNAcentral describes it as "partial 16S ribosomal RNA". It matches the Rfam family "Bacterial small subunit ribosomal RNA", at positions 524 to 768 of the family's 1533-position model. The record is from RNAcentral.